GGGAAUGUAGCUCAGUGGUGGAGUACAUGCUUAGCAUGCAUGAGGCUCUUGGUUUAGACCCCAGCAUUUCUA
RNAcentral lists this transfer RNA (72 nucleotides) under Alligator sinensis (Chinese alligator). It matches the Rfam family "tRNA". From Rfam's summary of the family: Transfer RNA (tRNA) molecules are approximately 80 nucleotides in length. Their secondary structure includes four short double-helical elements and three loops (D, anti-codon, and T loops). Lineage: Eukaryota; Metazoa; Chordata; Crocodylia; Alligatoridae. The record is from Rfam by way of RNAcentral.